RNAcentral lists this ribosomal RNA (478 nucleotides) under Streptococcus sp. oral taxon C97. Its description in RNAcentral is "bacterial SSU rRNA". It matches the Rfam family "Bacterial small subunit ribosomal RNA", at positions 28 to 491 of the family's 1533-position model. The record is from RNAcentral. Lineage: Bacteria; Bacillati; Bacillota; Bacilli; Lactobacillales; Streptococcaceae.
GACGAACGCUGGCGGCGUGCCUAAUACAUGCAAGUAGAACGCUGAAGGAGGAGCUUGCUUCUCCGGAUGAGUUGCGAACGGGUGAGUAACGCGUAGGUAACCUGCCUGGUAGCGGGGGAUAACUAUUGGAAACGAUAGCUAAUACCGCAUAAUAUUAAUUAUUGCAUGAUAAUUGAUUGAAAGAUGCAACUGCAUCACUACCAGAUGGACCUGCGUUGUAUUAGCUAGUAGGUGAGGUAACGGCUCACCUAGGCGACGAUACAUAGCCGACCUGAGAGGGUGAUCGGCCACACUGGGACUGAGACACGGCCCAGACUCCUACGGGAGGCAGCAGUAGGGAAUCUUCGGCAAUGGACGAAAGUCUGACCGAGCAACGCCGCGUGAGUGAAGAAGGUUUUCGGAUCGUAAAGCUCUGUUGUAAGAGAAGAACGGGUGUGAGAGUGGAAAGUUCACACUGUGACGGUAUCUACCAGAAAGG